CCCACCUUCAUCUCCUCUCCUACCACGGCCGUCUCUGACCUCCGGCUAAUUCCCGCCGCCCACCUUGCUACGGACCGCCUCCGCCUCCGCCUCGCCCCCCACCUCCUCACGACCGCCCCGACCUCCGGCUCAUCCCCGAUGCCCACAUCCUCACGGUUGCCCCCGACCUCCUCUCGGCCAAAGGGGGUGGACGGAGGCCGCCGCCGUGGCGACAUCAGCGAGUUGGCCGGAGGUGUUCAUCCCUCUCCCUUCUCUCCACUGAUUGUCUAUACGUCGUCCAAACCAUUGGUAACAGUGUGGAUCUUCCCAGGGUGCAUAGAAGGGUCUUGAAAUGGAUACAAAUGGAUGUUUCAGUGAUUUGUAUGGAUGCCUCACAGCCAACACAAAGUAUCCAAAACUUGGGAAAAUCCUAACAUUUCCUUGAAUGUACGGUGUUACCAUGUUGGCAUCCCAUUUGACCCCCCAUGUACAUCAACUUUAGGGAACCUUGGUUUUUAUCAGAUUGCUAAGAUGAGGAAAAUCAAUGUCGAAAAAUAUUUGAUAUCGGCAUUGGUGGAGCAUUGGCGGCCCGAGACAAACAGUUUUCACCUACCUGUAGGAGAAAUGACUAUUACGUUGCAAGAUGUCAGUUGUUUGUGGGGGUUGCCUAUCCAUGGUAAACCACUUGUUGGAAAAGUUGAUACACAAUGGUCAGAAUUAGUUGAGAGGUUGCUUGGGAUUCCUGUGGAUGAACAACACAUGAAACAAAAGAAAAGGUGAAAAGGUGAUGAUGAUACUGUUGUGAGGAAUUCACAAUACUCUCUAGAUUUGGGUAAACUGCGGGAACGCUUCCAUGUGUUGUCGGAUAAUUCAAUGGCCAGGGAGAUAAAUUGGCAUGCUCGAGCACUUGUUCUAAAAAUCCUUGGCAAUUAUGUUCAAGAAUACAACCGUGUUGAUGCAACAGUGUGGCCAGACGAUAUUCCCUUUGAUGUAGCAAGUUUACCUCAUUAUAAACAUUGGUUCCAACAAAAUGGUAUGUGCACAGUAUUCUUCGAUUCUCAAUGCUUGGGCGGCCUAGAUAAACCUAUUCCAUAUCCUCGAGAUAGCAUCGAAUGGACUGGCUACAUGCCUAGUGGUCCGCCACUGGCUCAAAUUGGUUAUGCAAGAUAAAGAAUGCCACAUGGGGUAUUAAAUGUGCUAUUACUAGUGGAUGCAAGAAGAUAGGGAAAACUAUAUUGAGGUCUUGUGUAGGAAAUUUGUUGGAUUUGAACUUGGAGCCUGGGCUGCAAAGCAUGCUUACUGAGGCUAGGUUACCACUGUACAUUGAAGAUAUUCCAUUUGAUGAAGAGGUUUUUGAUAUUGCUAACCCACCAAGCCCCCCAAAAGAGAGCAAAUCUGAUGUGUUCAAUGAAUGGAUAUACUCCGGCAAAGGUUUUACAACAUACCUUAAGGCUGGUGAAGCGAUGAGAGAUGGGGAACCGACAACACAAGAUGUAGGUCAAGUUACCCAAUAAACCAACUCGAAUGAGCUUGGUAGAGCUAGUGGGCUUAUAUAAAGGAGUUCGUAGCGAGUAGUUGGUUAGAAUGGUCAUCUGUAGAGCGACCUGGAGGUGUAGCUGACCAAAUCCUUUUGUAUUUUGCCCCAAAAAGCAGUCCAGGAAUUUUGUUUGUGCUAUGACAGAUAUGGAUUGUAAUAGUUCCCAAAAUGUGUUUGUUACUCCUUAUUUGAUAAGUUCAUCUCGAGUAUAUAUUUUUUCAUAGAAAGGAAAAUGUGA
Molecule: long non-coding RNA, 1754 nt
Organism: Triticum aestivum (bread wheat)
Lineage: Eukaryota; Viridiplantae; Streptophyta; Magnoliopsida; Poales; Poaceae
Exons: 4
Source: RefSeq, a predicted model, not a curated record